This 253-nucleotide ribosomal RNA is filed under the name uncultured bacterium. RNAcentral describes it as "partial 16S ribosomal RNA". It matches the Rfam family "Bacterial small subunit ribosomal RNA", at positions 524 to 776 of the family's 1533-position model. The record is from RNAcentral.
UACGGAGGUAGCAAGCGUUGCUCGGAAUCACUGGGCGUAAAGGGCGCGUAGGCGGGGAGGUAAGUCGGGUGUGAAAUCCCUCGGCCCAACCGAGGAACUGCGCCCGAGACUGCUUCUCUUGAGUCCCGGAGAGGAAGAUGGAAUUCCCGGUGUAGCGGUGAAAUGUGUAGAGAUCGGGAGGAACACCGGUGGCGAAGGCGGUCUUCUGGACGGUGACUGACGCUGAGGCGCGAAAGCCAGGGGAGCAAACGGG